RNAcentral lists this ribosomal RNA (404 nucleotides) under uncultured bacterium. RNAcentral describes it as "bacterial SSU rRNA". It matches the Rfam family "Bacterial small subunit ribosomal RNA", at positions 101 to 518 of the family's 1533-position model. The record is from RNAcentral.
AACGGGUGAGUAACGCGUUGGUGAUCUGCCUCGAAGUGUGGAAUAACGUUCCAAAGGGACGCUAAUACCGCAUGUGCUCAAGGUUUUUUAGAAAGCUUUGAGUAAAGGAUUUAUUCGCUUCGAGAGGAGCCUGCGUCCCAUCAGCUAGUUGGUAAGGUAACGGCUUACCAAGGCCUAUGACGGGUAGGGGACCUGAGAGGGUGGCCCCCCACAAUGGAACUGAAACACGGUCCAUACACCUACGGGUGGCAGCAGUAGGGAAUAUUAGAAAUGGGCGAAAAAGCCUGAUCUAGCGACACCGCGUGUGCGAUGAAGGCCUUCGGGUUGUAAAGCACUUUUUGGAAGGUAAUAGGAAGGAAGGUACUUCCAGAAUAAGUCUCGGCUAACUACGUGCCAGCCGCCGC